AGGUGUAGUUCAGUAUCGUCUCGUUCAAAAGAUGGGAUGGCUGGUUUGACGAACCGCUACAUCUAUUAUCCACAAAUCAAACUUUUACUUUCAAAUGGUGAAAACUAAUAAAUUAAAAGAAAAAGUGUUCGUCAGUCGUGGUAGAUAGGUCACUACUUAGUCAUGAGUUGUUCAUGGCCGUAAAGGGUCUCAAACCCAAUACGAUUGUUUUGAAAGUUCUCUAAUCCCGCAAGGAUGAGUUUGGGUGGCAACCUAGAAGAGUGAUGAGUAAGAAUAGAGUAUAUUACGACUUUAGGAUUGGUUAAUCUAAUUAACCGUGACUGAGAGGUACUUCUCAAAAGGAAGUGGAAAUCGGAGGAAAUCAAAAUAAUCUCCUGUAAAGUCUCUCACAAGAUGGUUUAUUCUCAACCU
This 411-nucleotide non-coding RNA is filed under the name unclassified sequences. RNAcentral's name for it is "Giant, ornate, lake- and Lactobacillales-derived (GOLLD) RNA". It matches the Rfam family "Giant, ornate, lake- and Lactobacillales-derived (GOLLD) RNA". The record is from Rfam by way of RNAcentral.